Molecule: long non-coding RNA, 2225 nt
Filed under: Salmo salar (Atlantic salmon)
Lineage: Eukaryota; Metazoa; Chordata; Actinopteri; Salmoniformes; Salmonidae
Description: lncRNA (ENSSSAG00000111824.1)
Source: RNAcentral
CCUGUAUUAAGUUUCAGCUCUGCAGACAGAGAGGGAAGCACAAGAGCCCACCCCCAUAGUGGUUAGAGCAUUGGACUAGUAAUUGAAAGGUUGCAAGAUCGAAUCCCCCGAGCUGACAAGGUAAAAAUCUGAUGUCGAUUAAGGCAGCCCCCCGCACCUCUCUGAUUCAGAGGGGUUGGGUUAAAUGAGGAAGACACAUUUCAGUUGAAUACAUUCAGUUGGACAGCUGACUAGCUUUAGGGGGCAAAACGAAUCUGGGACAUUACAAAUUAUCCAGAGGAAAAACGUUCUUAAAAACGUCACUUGUUGUGCAGCAAAGUGUUCCUGUUGUUGUCAGCCCAACACUAGUCCUGGACGGUCAACCUGGAGUUGAGAAGAAGAAAACAAGUGCUGCUCUCAGUGCUCUUUCCCCAUGUGUAACGGCUUAAGAUGUCCUACCAGUGCCUUGUAUCCGGGGGAAGAGGUGAAGCGUGACAACAGGCUGGAGGUUAGAAUAGGAGGACCCGAAGAGGAGGUUCCUGUCCUCCGGCCUAGGACGCCUAAUCAAAAUCCCAUGGCCUUGCAUCCUCACUCUCUUGCGCUCUCUCUCUCUCUCUCUCUCUCUCUCUCUCUCUCUCACACACACACACACACACACACACACACACACACACACACACACACACACACACACACACACACACACACACACACACACACUGCUCUGGCUCUACUGCAGCUUCACGGUCAUUGUUGGUUCGACCACCUCUAAUUCAAUCAUGUCCCUCGAGCCAUGGGGAUGCAUCGCCAGAGGUCCCAUCCACUAUAAACACAUUUAGGGAUUAUUUAUUUUUAGCUUUAGCUCAGUACUCUCCUGUGUUCGGACCCUAGCUAACUGCAGCUACCCCAGAUGGUUCUGCUAAGGUGGCUGUUUCUGGAUUCCUGCAGAUUGUGGGUUGUAAGUGAAGAAAGGGUUUCUCUCUUUUGGCCUGUCCUUCAUUAUGAGAGAGGUAUUUAUCACAAUCAGACUGACUAACGGAGCUUAACCCUCUGGUCCUCCACACACAGCACUAUGCUACUGUUCUAUGAUGCUGAAGAAAAAAAAAGGUUUUACGUUGUUUACAUGGAACAAGCAAGUGUAGUCAGAGUAUCAGUUACCUUACGCAGCUUCCUCCAUAGCUCAGAGUGGACUUUGGUGGGUUUUACCAGGGGCAAAUCUGAAAUGUCAUCCUAUUUCCUAAGUAGCAUUAUGUUUGGCCGGAGACGGUGUCAUUUUGGACACAACGCAGCAUUGAUGUUUUACUGGCAGAUGGAUGUGUUACUGGCAGACGGAUGUGUUACUGGCAGAAUCUGCUUAGACAAAAACACACUGUAGCCCUUCUCUCAGAUGUAGUCAUCUGUGAAUGAAUCACAUUCACUGAUUCACUGGACCUCAGUGCCUCAGUGUAUUUGGCCUCAUUUGAAUAAGAGGUCAGAGAGAGGACAGAACACCCCAUGUCCCCCCUCUCCCUUCACUCCCUAUUCUCCACACAAACCCAACUACAACUCCUAUUUCCCAGCCUGCACCUCUCUUCCUGUCUGAGUGCUGACCCAGGGGUCGGUAGCUGUCAGUCACGUCCCUCAGCUGGCCUCCGAGGCUCUCCUCUCAUGAGCCGCUGGCCACAGACUGGGCUCUGUGAGGGGACCUCUGAAGGAAAGGCCCAGGCCGGUCAUAUGGGAUCAUCUCUGUGCAUUCAUGGUGUGUAAUUUAAUUACCCCUUCCCUCCUCUUUCUCAUGUUUCCUUCUCCUAUCCUAAUGCAAACCCCAGGUUGGACCGACCGUCACCCUGGUCUAUAGUGAGAGGAAGGGCUUCAGGGGCUGACAGCCAGACAAAGACAGACACAUGUCGACAAUGUGUAUACUCAGGCCCUGACAGAGUUUGGGUUAAUAGUGGGAGUCUCGUAUGAGGAUCGACUGACGAGCAGCUUGUCAACUCUCCAUCUACAUGCUGUUGGAGGAUCAGGAGGAUCACCCACCAUGUCCAUGGAAGGAAGAGGUCUCCAGGCUGCUCGUUAUGGCGCACACCUGUCACCAUCGUUACGUGCACCUGCGCAUCAUCAGACUCACCUGGACUCCAUCACUUCCCUGAUUACCUUCCCUAUAUAUGUCACUCCCUUUGGUUCCUUCACCAGGCCUUAUUGUUUCUGAUUCUGUGUCAUGUCUUUGCGUUGUUCGUGGUUUCUUGUUUUGUAUUAUGUUACGUUUA